This 465-nucleotide ribosomal RNA is filed under the name uncultured bacterium. RNAcentral describes it as "bacterial SSU rRNA". It matches the Rfam family "Bacterial small subunit ribosomal RNA", at positions 338 to 795 of the family's 1533-position model. The record is from RNAcentral.
CCUACGGGAGGCACCAGUGGGGGAUAUUGCACAAUGGGCGCAAGCCUGAUGCAGCCAUGCCGCGUGUAUGAAGAAGGCCUUCGGGUUGUAAAGUACUUUCAGCGGGGAGGAAGGUGUUGAGGUUAAUAACCUCAGCGAUUGACGUUACCCGCAGAAGAAGCACCGGCUAACUCCGUGCCAGCAGCCGCGGUAAUACGGAGGGUGCAAGCGUUAAUCGGAAUUACUGGGCGUAAAGCGCACGCAGGCGGUCUGUCAAGUCGGAUGUGAAAUCCCCGGGCUCAACCUGGGAACUGCAUUCGAAACUGGCAGGCUAGAGUCUUGUAGAGGGGGGUAGAAUUCCAGGUGUAGCGGUGAAAUGCGUAGAGAUCUGGAGGAAUACCGGUGGCGAAGGCGGCCCCCUGGACAGAGACUGACGCUCAGGUGCGAAAGCGUGGGGAGCAAACAGGAUUAGAUACCCCUGUAGUC